This is an RNA transcript of Triticum aestivum (bread wheat), 6085 nucleotides long. It is a transcript of the gene named ankyrin repeat domain-containing protein 65, with no coding region annotated. The transcript is spliced from 3 exons. NCBI's taxonomy places the organism in Eukaryota, Viridiplantae, Streptophyta, Magnoliopsida, Poales, Poaceae. The record is from RefSeq and is a predicted model, not a curated record.
AUUCCUGUCAGAAAACGAAACACGACCUCGUCGUUCUCAUUGACAAUCCCCAAAUCGCCGGCCGGCCGGCCCCCUCCACCGCUGCCGCCGCGAGUUCUUUCUUCUCCUACCCCCGAGCGAUCUGCUUUUUAUCCAUCCCUGAUCUCUUGGCGGACGCCUGCGCCACCGUGGAGUAGAGGCGGUGGCCGCCUUGCCGGACGGAGAGGGAGGAGGAGGUCGCCGGAGGACGAGGGGAAUGGAGGCCACGCGCUCCUUGGGGCGACGUUCCCGUCCCAUCCUCGUUCGCUGGCGACGCACGCGCGGCGGACCGCUGGGGGGCGCCGGCGACCACCGACUGCGGUAAGAGCGCUACUGCCUGUCUGUACUGCAAAGUAGAUAAAUUUAGUCCCACAUCGCAGAUUCACUACGGAUCCCACUGAUGGCAUUGAUAAAUCAAUCUCCGUUUCUUGCGAUGCAAUGGCACUGAGAUUGAUGGAGCGCUUCGGCGUGACCGCACGGCAAUAUGAUACUUCCUUCGUCCCGAAUUACUUGUCGCAGGUAUGGAUGUAUCUAGAUGUAUUUUAGUUCUAGAUACAUCCAUUUUUGCGACGAGUAAUUUGGAACGGAGGGAGUAGCUGAGAAAAUUUCUACAUCAAGGGAGGACAAAAAUUCAAGUAAGUCUUAAAUUGUCCUCGGUUAUUCUACUUCCCCCUAAUAACCUUUGAGCUGUUCUGUUUAGUCAAACAGUGUAGCAAUAUAAGAAGUUCCAUUUUUCAGUUUGCCUAAACAGUUAUUGAUGCACCUACAUUUGAAAUAUAGAGAAAUAAGGAAGUAAAACUUGUAAAAAAAAGCACUUAACUGCUUAAAUAAUUUUAUUCUUCUGAAACAUCUGGCCAUACUAAGUACUCACUCCGUCCGGAAAUACUUGUCGUACAAAUAGAUAAAAUUGAAUGUAUCUAGAACUAAAAUACGUCUAGAUACAUCCAUUUCCACGACAAGUAUUUCCGGACGGAGGGAGUAUGAAGUACGUACUUAUUGGACUGAUAUGCUUCCACGGAACCCUCUCAGAGGAACAUUAUGACGAUUGUUGCAUCUCCGGUUAUGCUUAGGUCUCGAACUUUCAGGAUUUAAGUCUAUAAGAUAUAUAGACUAUUUUAGGAAUCAUUCGAGUUUUCCUCGGAUUUUUACCUUUUAAGUGUUGUUGUUGGAUCGAUCUUUUAUCCCAUAUAUACUUGGAACUGUAGUUCAAAAAGCCAUAGCUAAUUUGACACACUCCACCACAAUGUUUGUUGGAUGAGCAGUAGUUUUGGUGGAUCUUCACGACAAAGACAUUAUUGUGGUUAUAUUGAUCCCUAGAUUUCUUCUUUAUUGUAAGUCACAUGAGUAUACCCAAGACUUCCAUAGCAGCUCAAUAAACAUGUAUAAUGUAGUUAGUUUGGAGAGAAUGACCUUUCUCAGUGAAAUCAUCUAUUUCAGAUUCAUUUGUUUCUUAAUCUUACAACUCAUGUCAGGUAUCAUUGCUGACAAAAAAUCAGCCUCACAUGUCGAUUAUGUUAUAACCAAGUUGAAGGGUUCAAUCUGAAGCAACUGUCGCGGUUAGUGACACCAUUGAAUUCUAAUAAUUAAUCCCUACUAGACAAGAAACUGUGUCACCAACUCAACUUUGCUCUAGGAAAAUCAAAUCAAUAGAACAUUCUGUGAUUUUAUUUUUGCAAACAUUACGGAGAAACGCAUCCAGGUUGUGAUGCACUGAUGCACAUACCAAAUGAUGUUUACACAUCAAUUGACGACGGUGGUAACAAAUUAGUACACUGGUUCCAGCAAAAACAAGCAUGGAAGCAAAAUUAGAUUAUAGUUGUAGCAAAAAACAUUGUCGUCACUGUCACGAGAGGCAGAGUGGUCAAUUGGUUGUAGCAAAUUUUGUGGCCGGUCGUAGCAAAAACCAACAAUGGGCGGUCGCCUCCUGUGCUCGUGCGGAGAGCCACAGAGAAAAAAGGAAGGGGAGGUGGUGGGUCAGGCACACGUGGGUUACAUGGGGCGACUAGUCAAACCUGUGUGGGAGCAAACUCGGUCCGCUGGAUUGUGCGCUAUCGCACGGCAAGCGAGCGACCGGCGCAGUUUUCGGCCGGCGCGCCGUCGUUUACAUUUCCCCCCAAAAAAAGGAGUACUGCUCGCUCGUGCGUUCGCCUACGAGUCUGGAACAUAAUUAUGUUCCACCCUGUAUAUACGAACAGUUCCGUUGACGAGAAAAUCCAUAUUUAAAAUGCACAUUGACCCCGUAUACACGAACAGGUUCCGCUGACGAGAAAAUCCAUAUUUAAAAUACACAUUAAGAAAAUGGGCUCACUAACCCUGAUGGCUACAUGCGUCCGGUUGAUGACUUGGUUGGUGUACAUAUCCAAGUCUCCAACUCGCCGUGCCUCGACGACCACCAUGCCUGACAAGCUGCUUAUGGCCACAAGCCAGGGUGAUGGCAAUCUGGCCUUGUACACAUCCAGCAACGGAGGUUCUGAUGAUGUAGAGGAAGGUGGUGCUCUGCCUGCACCAUCAUCGCUCCUUGAGGGGGUGACUGUCGAAGGGGACACUGCACUCCACGCGGUGGCUACCUGCGGCCGUGGCGAUGACUUCCUGAGGAGCGCAGACAUCAUCCACAGAAAGGCGCGAAACCUCCUGUUCGUGCAGAACAAGAAGGGAGACACACCCGUGCACUGCGCGGCGAGGGCCGGGAAUCUCAAGAUGGUCUCUUGUCUCAUUCGUCUGGCUAAAUCGGGAGGGGAGGCUGUUUCUCGAGUGAAGUCGCUGCUGGAGAAGGAGAACAAGCUUAAGGGGACGGCCUUGCAUGAGGCCGUCCGGAUUGGGAAGGUGGAGAUGGUGGAGCGGCUGAUGAAGGAGGACCAGGACUUGGCCGGUUUACACGAAAAAGGGGUUUUCCCCCGCUUUAUAUUAUAAAGCAACGAACCGAGCAUCCAGCAUAACAGUACAGAGAGUAAUCAAGUCAAAGUCAUGCUGGGGGCACAACAAGACAAGCCCCAAACAUGACUUGGCCGGUUUUCCGAGAACCGGUGGGACCUCGCCGAUGUACCUGGCCAUCUUGCUGGGUAAUAGAGUCAUCGUUAAGAAACUGUAUAAAAUGAGUGAUUACGGUACAAGUCUUUCCUACUCCGGCCCAAAUGGACAAAAUGCAUUACAUGCUGCUGCUACCCGAGGACGAGUAUUUACUAAGAAGCUGUUAAAGUGGAACAAGGCCCUUUCAGCGCAAAAGGAUGAAACAGGGUGUAUGCCUCUUCACUUCGCCGCGGCCAAGUCGCCAAACUCAUCUUAUUCAACACAGUUUCAUGACGAUCUGCAUGAAUGGCGAAAGAGCAAUUCAACCAUCGCCAGACAAAUGCGCAAGAGGCUCUUGUCUCUAUUGAGGAUGGAUGGCUGGCCAAAAGUCUGCCUCAAGCUGCUCGAAGCAAACCCAGCCGCGUUGUAUGAGCCAGACCACCGUGGGUCAUAUCCGAUACACGUAGCUACCUCAGUGGGCGCGACCAGGAAGGUUCUCCUGUUUCUUAACAGGCACCCUGGGAGUGCCGGCCUGCGCGAUGCGCGUGGCCGGACUUUCCUGCAUGUCGCCGUCGAGAAGAUGGCUGUGGGGAUCCUGUAUCAUGCUACCAGGGAUAAGUCGCUAGAAUGGAUUCUCAACAUGCGCGACAAGGAUGGGAACACGGCAUGCACCUUGCAGUCCAAGGUGGGAGACUUCGAGUGUUCUGCCGUCUGCUUGGGAAUCUGAAGGCAGGCCUGGAUUUGCCAAAUGCAAAAGGGGAAACCUGUCAUUAAUUUAUCACGGUAUAAGGUUCCUCCAGGAUUGUAUUACAGCCAGGUAAUCUAUCAUUCGACUCCCUCUUUUUUGGCAACGUUCAAGCGUUGCCACUGGUGGAAUUAGUUCAAACGUUCAAGGCAAGAACUCGGAAGCAUGUAUCCGUCGUGCACUCACGAUGGUCGGUGCUCGGAGCGGCACUUCUCGCGAGGAUCACUUCGAGGAAAAAUACGAGAGAAAUCACCAGCUAAAACCGGAAGAGAAAAACAGAGAAUCAGAUAGCUUGAAGGAUGCAACACAGACUUUGAGCAUCGGGUCUGUGCUGAUAGCGACGGUGACGUUUGGCGCCACAUUCGCACUGCCUGGUGGUUACAAGGCGGACGAUCGUCCCAACGGUGGCUCACCGACGCUCGCAGGCACGUACGGCUUCGACGCGUUCAUGAUGGCCAACACGCUGGCCUUCAUCUGCUCCUCGAUGGCCACGGUCGGCUUCAUGUUCUCCGGGACUCCCAUGGUUAACAGGAGGAGCCGAAAGUUCCACCUCAGCUGCUCCGUGUAUUUCAUGGAGGCUUCAGUCACGAGCCUGACGGCCGCAUUCGCGCUGGGGGUGUACUUGGUGCUGGCUCCCGUCGCUUACAAGACCGCCAUUGCCAUUUGUGCCGUUAGCCCUUUUGUGUUGCUCUGGAAAAAUGUUGAUUGUUGGAAGAGAUGGAUUCGUUUUGCUGGACCCUUUUGGGUUAGGAAGAGGCUAUUUUGGACCUUGCAAGAGUUUGUACGGCAGUUCGUGUGGAGCAUACUGCUUGAACUUUGGCCCCUCGUGAUUAUCUUCUGUUGGGCAGCAUUCGCAAAUACUGGCACACACUUUUAAUCAUCGACCAGCUUGAAGAGGCAUCAGUCAAAUAUGGGCGUGAUUACUGCGAGAAAUAAAUUGUGGAGAACUGGAGGUCCGCAGAAAUGCCACGUCGAGGAGGAGCAAUGGGCUCUGCUUCAUGGCUUAGCCAGUAGCGAGAAAUCUCCAUGAGAGCAGUGCCCAGGUUCGUCGCUGUUUCUCAAUUGUUUAUGUGGCUGAUGAUUGUUUAUACUGCAAGUAUUUUUGGUCGAAGUGAACAUAGGUUUUUUAAUCCUUUAUAUUACUGAUGAUUUUGGCUUCCUGACACCCAGGCCAGAUUAGUUGUUCAAGAUUGUUAUCAUUAUCAAGGUAGAGGCUAGAAAGGGUACAAUGCCACAGGGGGGAAUGCAGCAUUAUAUUGUGUUCUUAGUGGGUUUUAUUGCCAGUUUUUUUUAAGAUACGCGUAUGAUGCCACAUAUUACGUUGUGACUAGAGAAUAAUAAUGGUUCCGCAAUGGAUCACGUAUGUAGCAUUUUCUUUCAGGAGGGAAAAUCGCGUAGCUACUAACACAAGGUCAGUUCAGUUUUUUGUCUUAGAUGCUAGAUGAAGGGACGCCGGAUAGUGGUGCUUCCUCACACUGCUGGCAUGUCGUUGUUCUUUGAGCUUGAUCUAGAAAUGACGUGCGGGGCAAAACAUGACAGAGAUGUGCGGCAUGGCCUGACUCUACUCUUGGGUUCUAGCCAUGUGAUGUUCCUCGACGGGGCCUAUAACGUCACUUCGCUAAAAUGACCACUGCAGGAGAAUUUUAAGUUGUGGCAGUCAUUAUGCGGAAUCCCACCUUGUGGGUGUGAAGAGAAUUUCAUCCUGAAUAAGAUGGAAUUAAGAGUACUCACCGUGCGUUUGGUAAAUGGUCACCAUGGGUUCGAAUUAGCCCUGCUGGAAGGUCAGCAGUCAGCACUACAAAGGUUUCAGCUUGGCAAAGAAGUUGUUUCAGCCCUGUAGACAAUGAGAGCAGCCACACUUGUGGAGAAUGUCGUCAUGGUGGCGUGGCGGCUUCCGUCCCGGUGUUCUCAUCAUCGGGUUUAUAAUAAAAAGAAGAUUGUUCUCACAGUUUUGAAUCCAAGGGUCUGUCAAGAAGGUCUCAGUGCUUGUCAGCAGUGUUCUAUUUAUUGUGACAUCCACAUUCCAUGGAAGAGUUAAAUUCUGGUCGUUUACCCAUUAUCCUUGCAAGUUUUUACACAGGUUCAAUGGUGUGCUCGGCUUCGUACAAGUGCAUUUUGAACCUUCUUAAUUAACAUCAGCCGGGGAGAUGGUGAGUUCCUGGUCACUUUGUAUGCUUGCACAUCCAUUUGGGUUAUGAAGAUAUUCGGGGUGUCCGUAGAACAUGUUUUCACAGAACACUAUCACAUGGAUUCCUAGCAGCUCCGGGAAGUGCAUGUGGCUUUAUGAAGAGUAGGGCUAAAUACUGUGGAACUGAA